RNAcentral lists this ribosomal RNA (253 nucleotides) under uncultured bacterium. Its description in RNAcentral is "partial 16S ribosomal RNA". It matches the Rfam family "Bacterial small subunit ribosomal RNA", at positions 524 to 776 of the family's 1533-position model. The record is from RNAcentral.
GACGUAGGGGGCAAGCGUUAUUCGGAAUCAUUGGGCGUAAAGCGCUCGUAGGCGGAUCGGACAGUCGGUGAAGAAAGACCCGGGCUCAACUCGGGGAACGGCACCGAUACUAUCGAUCUUGAGGCAAUCAGAGGGUGAUGGAAUUCCCGGUGUAGCGGUGAAAUGCGUAGAUAUCGUGAGGAAGACCAGUGGCGAAGGCGGGUCUCUGGACAGUUCCUGACGCUGAGGCGCGAAGGCCAGGGGAGCAAACGGG